AACAGUGGGAGGGGAAGGGGCAGAGCAUGGCACUGGGUCCCCUAAAACAUUCCAAAAGAUUCACCAUCACUGUCCUACAGAAUAUAUUCCAUUGUCAAAGCUUUGGAGAACCAUGGUCACAUUCAUAACACACUGAGUUUUUUAAAAAACCUUCCAAUGCAUAAAAUGAAGCUGGAAAUUAGAGGAGAGAAUCCAACAAGUGGACUCCUUGAGACAGGAAGGCAAAGGACCACAGGAACAACCAAAGGGGUUAGCAUUAGUAAAAAUGGCCAUCUCAUUCUCUAAAACUAGAGCAAAAGAACAGACGAAGCCCAGGACAGAUGGCCACAAUUUUUUCAGUAAAACAUAAAACAAGUCCUCUGAUGAAAGGGAGAGGAUGUACAAGUACUGUAGAUGGCUUUAAGAAGAAAUGACAUGGGAUAUCACCACUGUGGCCAAUGUGACAAAGAAUCAACCAAGAAAAAUUAAAAGGAUUGCAGUGCAGCAGUUAGGACCCAGAGCCGGCUAAUGAGAGCUGGAACGAACGGGAGGAGAGUUGGAAAAGGAGAACACGGGAGAAGCCAUCGGAGUGACCCAGCCACCUUCCCCACGCCCCGCCCGAGCCCCUGACCCUGCCAGUCCCUCCCUCCCUCCCACCUUGCGGGAGCGAACCCGGGCAGGCACGCACCCUGGCACCCGCAUGGCCCACUUACCCAUCUUUCCUCUUGGCUUUGUAGACGUGACCUUAAAGAAACUGAAACUCCACAGUGUCAUUCUCCUUUGCCUUAAAAAUAUGAUGUGACCCUGCCUUCAUAAAGUCUAUGCCAAUACAGCACAAUAUCUGGCAGUUUCUUCUACCAUGAAAAGGCUGCCAACAUGGCCAGGAAAAUAAACCAUUUCUCCUUUUCAGAA
Monodelphis domestica (gray short-tailed opossum) is the source of this 891-nucleotide long non-coding RNA. RefSeq lists it as uncharacterized. The record is from RefSeq and is a predicted model, not a curated record. NCBI's taxonomy places the organism in Eukaryota, Metazoa, Chordata, Mammalia, Didelphimorphia, Didelphidae.